This 991-nucleotide ribosomal RNA is filed under the name Salmonella enterica subsp. enterica serovar Indiana. RNAcentral's name for it is "bacterial LSU rRNA". It matches the Rfam family "Bacterial large subunit ribosomal RNA", at positions 1252 to 2226 of the family's 2925-position model. The record is from RNAcentral. Lineage: Bacteria; Pseudomonadati; Pseudomonadota; Gammaproteobacteria; Enterobacterales; Enterobacteriaceae.
GAAGGUGGCCUGUGAGGGUUGCUGGAGGUAUCAGAAGUGCGAAUGCUGACAUAAGUAACGAUAAAGCGGGUGAAAAGCCCGCUCGCCGGAAGACCAAGGGUUCCUGUCCAACGUUAAUCGGGGCAGGGUGAGUCGACCCCUAAGGCGAGGCCGAAAGGCGUAGUCGAUGGGAAACGGGUUAAUAUUCCCGUACUUGGUGUUACUGCGAAGGGGGGACGGAGAAGGCUAUGUUGGCCGGGCGACGGUUGUCCCGGUUUAAGCGUGUAGGUGUGUGUUCCAGGUAAAUCCGGUUCACUUUAACACUGAGGCGUGACGACGAGGCACUACGGUGCUGAAGCAACAAAUGCCCUGCUUCCAGGAAAAGCCUCUAAGCAUCAGGUAACAUCAAAUCGUACCCCAAACCGACACAGGUGGUCAGGUAGAGAAUACCAAGGCGCUUGAGAGAACUCGGGUGAAGGAACUAGGCAAAAUGGUGCCGUAACUUCGGGAGAAGGCACGCUGACACGUAGGUGAAGUGAUUUACUCAUGGAGCUGAAGUCAGUCGAAGAUACCAGCUGGCUGCAACUGUUUAUUAAAAACACAGCACUGUGCAAACACGAAAGUGGACGUAUACGGUGUGACGCCUGCCCGGUGCCGGAAGGUUAAUUGAUGGGGUCAGCGCAAGCGAAGCUCCUGAUCGAAGCCCCGGUAAACGGCGGCCGUAACUAUAACGGUCCUAAGGUAGCGAAAUUCCUUGUCGGGUAAGUUCCGACCUGCACGAAUGGCGUAAUGAUGGCCAGGCUGUCUCCACCCGAGACUCAGUGAAAUUGAACUCGCUGUGAAGAUGCAGUGUACCCGCGGCAAGACGGAAAGACCCCGUGAACCUUUACUAUAGCUUGACACUGAACAUUGAGCCUUGAUGUGUAGGAUAGGUGGGAGGCUUUGAAGUGUGGACGCCAGUCUGCAUGGAGCCGACCUUGAAAUACCACCCUUUAAUGUUUGAUGUUCUAAC